GGAAUUGAGAUGAGAGCUUUAUUUACUUGUUGCAGGAUGAGACAUUGAGACAAGCAGUUUGUAAGUUUAAUGGCAAGAGCUGGAAGAAAAUAGCUAAGCUGAAGUAGAUGGGAAACUCAAUUUUACUUACUGCAGAUGGCAACGCAACUUUAUACACACAUUCAUGUAGUGGCAGUGUAGGUAUAAACUCAUCGAUCAACGGAUGAAGCUUCCGCUUAUCGGAUGAAACCUUCGCCUCCAAGUGCAUAAGGAUCUCUUUAUCCGACGGGUCGAAUUUGACUCCUGCCGGUAAACUUGAAGAACAAGUCAUAAUGGGAGAUUCAACGAUAAUCUUUGAAUCUGGACGGCUCGUGACACAUGAUGGAGAUUGAUCUUUGAGUUGAAUCGAUG
This is a long non-coding RNA of Brassica oleracea var. oleracea, 390 nucleotides long. RefSeq lists it as uncharacterized. The record is from RefSeq and is a predicted model, not a curated record. Lineage: Eukaryota; Viridiplantae; Streptophyta; Magnoliopsida; Brassicales; Brassicaceae. The transcript has 4 exons.